Molecule: ribosomal RNA, 253 nt
Filed under: uncultured bacterium
Lineage: Bacteria
Description: partial 16S ribosomal RNA
Rfam family: Bacterial small subunit ribosomal RNA
Source: RNAcentral
UACGUAGGGGGCAAGCGUUGUCCGGAAUUAUUGGGCGUAAAGCGCGUGUAGGCGGUCCGGUAAGUCGGUUGUGAAAGUCCAGGGCUCAACCCUGGGAUGCCGACCGAUACUGUCGGACUAGAGUUCGGAAGAGGCGAGUGGAAUUCCCGGUGUAGCGGUGAAAUGCGCAGAUAUCGGGAGGAACACCAAUGGCGAAGGCAGCUCGCUGGGACGUUACUGACGCUGAGACGCGAAAGCGUGGGGAGCAAACAGG